Molecule: long non-coding RNA, 1347 nt
Organism: Mizuhopecten yessoensis (Yesso scallop)
Lineage: Eukaryota; Metazoa; Mollusca; Bivalvia; Pectinida; Pectinidae
Exons: 4
Source: RefSeq, a predicted model, not a curated record
AACCCCUUGAUUCAGGCGAAGAGUGAAAGUCAUACCAUUAUUUUGGUAAUAGAUCAUCCGGUCUGGUAUUUCUUCGCGUGGGUAGAUUGACUCGCAUGACAAUGACAUCAAUACAUGUACUACAUGUAUAAGGAGGUGGUGACCUGCAGACAGACUACCCGUGUUUCAUUAUGUGGCAUCAGAAAAACAAAAUCAACUUCGUACAAAAGGAACUCGGAAAAGAAAGUCAACUGCAGGAAAAGGAAGACAGUACAAGAAGGGUCGUCUGUAGAGGUCUGACAGUGGUGACGCUGAACCACAGAGACUCGUACCAGAGAACAAGACAGAGACCUAUACAAUUUGUAGGCAGGACCAUUAAACAUGAGUGGGUUAUUGAUGAAACUUCACAACUGAAAGAGUGGUAUAGGGGGAAUGUAUUAUCUGUAUUGUCUGGAAAUGAUGGUGCUGUGAAUUCAGUAUAUGAAGUGCUGUAUGAAGGCGAAGCCGAACCGUAUGAAGUAGAUCAUCAGUGCAGUUCUGUGACCUAUAGUUAAUCAUUUGUUUGGAUAAUAGUAAAGUAUUUGGAAUCCAAAUACAUCACGCAACAGAAAUAGAAACACACGAGGAAAUCAACAGCAUUAAUUUGAAACCAAGUCGGACAAGAAAGGACCCAAGAUGAACAGACUCUUAUAUAGAAACAAUUGCCUCCAUGGCCAAAUAGAAAAUUAGCUAUCUCCCUAGACAAGGAUUGCGGAUUUGAGUGCGCCGGAGGUUGUGUCGGCUGAUCUUAUUUGCUUUACUUUAUGGAAUUCCUAUACCACUGGCAAAAACUGUAAAAUGGAAUUGCAUAUUUUUUUCCGGUAUCAUUACGCUUUGAUAAAUCAGUUAUUAAAAAAAACAACAUAACUUACGCUGUAAAUGUAUGGAAUACAUCAAGUGUUCUGAUAGUCUCAGACGUUCAACCAAACUCUUGUGGUCUGGUUGACGCUAAACUGUGAACUACAAGUGUCAAGUGUCUGGUUGAACGAGACUAGUUUUCUGAGUGUAAAAUUGCAACCGGUCACUGACCAGGUUUCGGACGUUGCUUGGCUGUCUGAGUGGUUUUACGUCCGCUUUUUCACUUCCAAGUAUUUCAAAUAUGUACUCCAAUCAUUACACGAUUGCUUAAGCCUACUGAGACAGCUGACUAAGGGUCGCGAUACAAAUAUGCCCAGAAUAAAUUCAUGAGAGAUACCUGUAUGAACGCAAAAUUAGUGGAAUUCUCUAAUGGUUUUUUUCUGGAACGCCUGUAUAAAAACAAAAUGUCUUGUGAUACAUAAGAUCCAUAACAUCUUCUUUUUCCUCUCAUGCCGUUCAUAUUGGUUUUCU